UUUCCUUACCCUUUUCCCCUUUUCCCUUUUCCCAGGGCGUGGGCCCGUGGAUCCCCCGUCCCAUUCGUCACGGAACCAGGCCAAACGCCCGUAAACCGUUGACACACUGUUCCAUCACCAACCCAGGGAUCAAGGCUCUUGGAAGAUUCACGUGUUCCUCGGAACCUAGAAUCACUAAGACUAAAUUUUCUCCAGUUGGAAGGAAAAGGAUUGAACAGUCCCAGGUCUCUCAGCCUUUCCUGGCACAGAAGAUGCUCCAGGACCU
This is a long non-coding RNA of Numida meleagris (helmeted guineafowl), 265 nucleotides long. RefSeq lists it as uncharacterized. The record is from RefSeq and is a predicted model, not a curated record. Lineage: Eukaryota; Metazoa; Chordata; Aves; Galliformes; Numididae. The transcript has 3 exons.